GAUGAAGAACGCAGUGAAAUGCGAUAAGUAAUGUGAAUUGCAGAAUUCAGUGAAUCAUCGAAUCUUUGAACGCACAUUGCGCCCGCCAGUAUUCUGGCGGGCAUGCCUGUUCGAGCGUCAUUUCAACCCUCAAGACCCCUUCGGGGGACUUGGUGUUGGGGACCGGCAUAGGGGCCUUGCGCCCCUCGCCGCCCCCGAAAUGAAUUGGCGGCCUCGUCGCGGCCUCCCCUGCGUAGUAGCACAACCUCGCAACGGGAACGUGACGGCGGCCACUGCCGUAAAACAACCCAAUUUUAUUAGAGUUGACCUCGAAUCAGGUAGGAAUACCCGCUGAACUUAAGCAUAUCAAUAAGCGGAGGA
RNAcentral lists this unclassified non-coding RNA (360 nucleotides) under soil metagenome. RNAcentral describes it as "partial contains 5.8S ribosomal RNA, internal transcribed spacer 2, and large subunit ribosomal RNA". The stretch from base 1 to 120 matches the Rfam family "5.8S ribosomal RNA", at positions 35 to 154 of the family's 154-position model. The record is from RNAcentral.